Molecule: long non-coding RNA, 2229 nt
Filed under: Homo sapiens (human)
Lineage: Eukaryota; Metazoa; Chordata; Mammalia; Primates; Hominidae
Description: HSALNT0345495
Source: RNAcentral
CAAUGGCAACCAGCAGAGCUUCCCCUGAAGAUUGGAGGGGAUGAGUCAGGGGCAAGGAAGGAUUAACAGAUUCUGCCUCAAGUCCUGGUGAACCAACUCCUCUCCCCAAGACAGACACAUACUAGUGAAAUAAAUUGGAUUUAAAUCAUCACCUGAGGCAAUCCUGAAAGAGAAAAGCAGUCCUAGAAAAGAGUGGAGGAAAAGAGGACAGCCCCAUUCUCUUUGUGACCACGAAGACUGCCGCCAUGUGGUUGGGAGCCACGUAACUUCUUUUAGUGCCAGCUGAGAUUCUUCUGCCCUGGAACUAGUUCCUCCGAGUUAUUGCCAGGCCUGGAGAUUGAAUUCCUGCAGCUGGAAGGUGGGGAAAGCAAAAUGUUGUGAGCACCUACCAUAUGCCAGGCACUGUUCAGUGAACUGGUUGUACAGGAGUGAAUGAGAUCAUCUUGAUUUUGAGAAGUUUAUAAUCUACUCAAGGGAAACACGUGUAAUCAACUAUGUUUCAGACAUAACCCCUCAAAACCAAAGCAGAACCUCUUCAAGGAGCUGAGAGAUGCAAGCCUGGAGGAGAAAAGCGGGGCAGCAUCAAACCCCUCCCACUGGGGCAACCUGCUGAGCAUCUCCCUGGCCUUGGCCCCUGGCCAUACCACACAAGUGUCCAAUGAGUCACUGAUCCUGAAGAACAAGAGAAGACUGACCACAGACCCCAAAAGGAAGCAGGAGUACAACCUUCGAAGUUGGUGGGCAACAAGAGGUCAGAGGUUGACAAGCAUCCACACAGCUCUAAGACUAGCAUCAUGUGGCUACCCAGGACCUGGGAGAGUGCUGCAGAGCAGGAGCAGGAAAGGGACCGGCUGUUCCCAUAGAACUUCAUGUCACAGGUCUGGGAGCCAGGGGGCCUUGGUUCUAGUCCCAACUCUCCCUCUAAGUUGUCUUAUGGCCACAGCAAUGAACCAAGACAAUGAGAAGUAGCGAGUACAGUUGAGGAGGCCUUGUCUGAGGAGGAGGCAGGUUUUCAUGAAGAUGCAGCAGAUCAUCUGGGAGAAAUUGAGAAUGAGGAAGGACUUGAUAAUAGGGCAUCUUAGUUCUGCUGAACACUCCUGAAUAAAGGGGAGGCCACAAGUCCCCACAUCUGGAUAAGGAGCCCAGUUGGUGGGCAUGGAACGGACCUUGACACAGAAGAGAAUGGAGAUAUGGGAGCCAUGUCCUGGAACCCUGGCUUGGUGUUGAAAUAAAUUAGAAGCUGACUUGCUGUGCAGCUGGUAAAGCUUCCACUUCGGGGCCCUUCAGUUGCAUGGGCCUUUCCCAAGACCCCAGGGAAGGGCUUAGCAAUAUGCUCACAUGGUCUGAUGUUCUUAUAUGCAAACAAUUUUUUUAGAGAUAUCUUAAAUAUGCUUGCUCAACACCUCUGUCCACUUCUGCCUUCCCUCCAUCCUUCUUCUUCUUGCCUUGAGUGUGUUUGGAGAUCAUGGGGGCUUUGAGGCUCCAUCUAAGAGGAAGUUAAAUGGAAGAUCCAGUUAGCUGGGUUUCAUGGGAUAUAUUUGUGAGGUUCACAGUCACUGUUGUGUCGGGUUAAGUUACUGCUAGCUGUCCCAGUAUGGAGUAGAUUCCAGGAAUACUCCUGAGGCCCCCGUGCUGACCUGCCCUACAGUGAUGUGAUUGUACAGGGCCAGGUCAUACCGUGAUCAGGACGUGGCCUGUGUACUGGCACUGUACGGCUGGAUAGUGGAAGAGAAGCUAGGAUAAACAUGUGCAGACCAAAACUGGUCUGUGGAAAAUUCUCCCUAUCAUCAGACACGUACAAAGCUAAGCAGAGGAUUCUGUUUUCAAAACACCUGCUCAAAACGGAAGAGCUCUCCUGUCAGUAGACACCAUCAUCCACUGUCUAAAACAAUAAAAGUCCUGUACAAUAUUUUCUUUGUUAAUGGACAUCAGUGAAAUGACUUGUUCAGGCUUCUCAAGUGUGUAGAGCACAGACCUAUGCCAGUACUACAAACAGGGAGUGAGUUCGUGUGCAAAGUUAUAUGCCUUAUGGCCGGGUGUGGUGGCCCAUGCCUUUAAUCUCAGCACUUUGGGAGGCCAAGGCGGAUGGAACACUUGAAGCCAGGAGUUCGAGACCAGCCUGGCUAACAUGAUGAAACUCUGUCUCUACUAAAAAUACAAAAAAAUUAGCCUGGCUACUCGGGAGACUGAAGCAGAACUGCUUGAACCCAGGAGGAGGAGAUUGCAGUG